Molecule: ribosomal RNA, 1498 nt
Filed under: metagenome
Description: bacterial SSU rRNA
Rfam family: Bacterial small subunit ribosomal RNA
Source: RNAcentral
AGAGCUUGAUCAUGGCUCAGAGUGAACGCUGGCGGCGUGGAUUAGGCAUGCAAGUCGAGCGAUCUCGCAAGAGAUAGCGGCAAACGGGUGAGGAACACGUGAAUAAUCUUCCUUAAAGUCUGACACAGCUUCGUGAAAACGGAGGUAAUUUCGGAUGUUGUUAUUGCAUCGCAUGGUGCGAUAACCAAAGAUGGGGACCUUCGGGCCUAUCGCUUUAAGAUGAGUUCGCGUCCUAUCAGCUAGUUGGUGAGGUAAUGGCUCACCAAGGCUUAUGACGGGUAGCUGGUCUGAGAGGAUGGUCAGCCACACUGGGACUGAGACACUGCCCAGACUCCUACGGGAGGCUGCAGUCGAGAAUCUUUAGCAAUGGACGAAAGUCUGACUAUGCGACGCCGCGUGCAGGAUGAAGGUUUUCGGAUUGUAAACUGCUUUUGUUAGGGAAGAAACUACCGACUAUAACAUAGUCGGAACUGACGGUACCUGACGAAUAAGCCACGGCCAACUCCGUGCCAGCAGCCGCGGUAAUACGGAGGUGGCGAGCGUUACUCGGAAUCAUUGGGUGUAAAGGGCAGGUAGGCGGUCUAUUAAGUGAGGGGUGAAAUCUCCCGGCUCAAUCGGGAAACUGCCUCUCAAACUGAUAGACUUGAGUGUGAUAGGGGUAAGCGGAAUUAGCAGUGUAAGGGUGAAAUCUGUAGAUAUUGCUAAGAACACCAGCGGCGAAGGCGGCUUACUGGAUCACAACUGACGCUGAUCUGCGAAAGCUAGGGUAGCAAACAGAAUUAGAUACUCUGGUAGUCCUAGUCGUAAACGAUGAAUACUAGGUGUUGGACCGUAAGGUUCAGUGCCGCAGCUAACGCAUUAAGUAUUCCACCUGGGGACUACGACCGCAAGGUUAAAACUCAAAGGAAUUGACGGGGACCCGCACAAGCGGUGGAACAUGUGGUUUAAUUCGAUGCUACGCGAAAAACCUCACCCAGGCUUGACAUACAAGUAGUAGUGAACUGAAAGGGGAACGACCCGUUAAGUCGGGAACUUGAACAGGUGCUGCAUGGCUGUCGUCAGCUCGUGUCGUGAGAUGUUGGGUUAAGUCCCGCAACGAGCGCAACCAUUGCCCUAUGUUGCUAGUUUAUUGUCUUCGGAUGAUAAGCGCACUCUUAGGGGACUGCUCGGGAUAACCGGGAGGAAGGUGGAGAUGACGUCAAGUCAGUACGGCCUUUAUGCCUGGGGCUACACACGUGUUACAAUGGAUGGUACAAAGGGUUGCCAACCCGCGAGGGGGAGCUAAUCUCAAAAAACCAUCCCCAGUUCGGAUAACAGUCUGCAAUUCGACUGUUUGAAGCCGGAAUCGCUAGUAAUGGGGGAUCAAAAUGCCCCCGUGAAUACGUUCCCGGGUCUUGUACACACCGCCCGUCAAGCGAUGAAAGCCGGGAGUACCCGAAGUCCUAUGUAGGUAGGCCGAAGGUAAAAUCGGUGAUUGGCGCUAAGUCGUAACAAGGUA